UGAAUACGAGAUGCUACGGCGUCGAAGCAGUGUAUGUCAGACUUCCAAGAAAAGCUCGCAAUGUCAUAAAUAAAGAAUGCCUGUACCAUAACCGACACAGGUGGGUAGGUAGAGUAUACUAAGGGGCGCGAGAUAACUCUCUCUAAGGAACUCGGCAAAAUAACUCCGUAACUUCGGGAGAAGGAGUGCCUUCUUUAAGAAGGUUGCAAUAACAAGAUCCAAGCAACUGUUUAUCAAAAACACAGGUCUCCGCUAAGUCGUAAGACGAUGUAUGGGGGCUGACGCCUGCCCAGUGCCAGAAGGUUAAAGAAGUUGGUUAGCUUUUGCGAAGCUGAUGACUGAAGCCCUGGUGAACGGCGGCCGUAACUAUAACGGUCCUAAGGUAGCGAAAUUCCUUGUCGGGUAAGUUCCGACCCGCACGAAAGGCGUAAUGAUUUGGAUACUGUCUCGGAGAGGGACUCGGUGAAAUAGACUUGUCUGUGAAGAUGCGGACUACCUGCACCAGGACAGAAAGACCCUAUGAAGCUUUACUGUAACUUGAAAUUGAAAUUGGACUUUAUUUGCGCAGUAUAGGUGGAAGGCGUUGAAAGUAAUCUUGCGGGAUUAGUGGAGCCAUCAGUGAGAUACCACUCCUAUAAUGUUAGAUUUCUAACUUUGGAUCAUGAUCUGGUCAAAGAACAGUUUCAGGCGGGCAGUUUGACUGGGGCGGUCGCCUCCCAAAUGGUAACGGAGGCGUACAAAGGUUUCCUCUGAACGGGUAGAAAUCGUAUCUAGAGUGUAAAGGCAUAAGGAAGCUUGACUGUGAGACCUACAAGUCGAGCAGGGACGAAAGUCGGUCUUAGUGAUCUGACGGUGCUGAGUGGAAAGGCCGUCACUCAACGGAUAAAAGUUACUCUAAGGAUAACAGGCUGAUCUCCCCCAAGAGUUCACAUCGACGGGGAGGUUUGGCACCUCGAUGUCGGCUCAUCGCAUCCUGGGGCGGUAGUACGUCCCAAGGGUUGGGCUGUUCGCCCAUGAAAGCGGUACGCGAGCUGGGUUCAGAACGUCGUGAGACAGUUCGGUCCAUAUCCGGUGUAGGCGUUAGAAUAUUGAGAGGAGCCUUCUUUAGUACGAGAGGACCGAGAAGGACAUACCUCUGGUGUACCAGUUAUCGUGCCAACGGUAAACGCUGGGUAGCUAUGUAUGGAGAGGAUAACCGCUGAAAGCAUCUAAGUGGGAAGCCCACCUCAAGAUGAGUAUUCUCAC
Molecule: ribosomal RNA, 1245 nt
Filed under: metagenome
Description: bacterial LSU rRNA
Rfam family: Bacterial large subunit ribosomal RNA
Source: RNAcentral